AAACAUAUGAUUGAUGGUAAUUGUUGAGAAAGGAAGCACCAGCGCCUGAAGCACUGAGCAAUGCAUAACACAGAUGUUGCAGUGCCAUGCAUGGUUCAGUCGAGGUUUCCCCAUUGACAUUAACUCAUGCAUGUCAUGGUCCAGUACAACAGUCAAGAUUUCAGGUACUCUGAUUGAGCUUCCGUAGUGGAUUCCUGACCCUUGCUGGAGUGGUGUACCAGCUACUAGUUGUCUUUCUCAGAAGGACUGUAUGCACAAUAUCUCAGUUCUCCUCUAUGGCAAUUCCAUUAUUCGUGAGAUAUGCACCAAGCUUAGGGCAUGUUGGAGUUGCAAUGGUUUCACAUGAAACGGUUGAGUUCCUGAAAGAGCAGCAUCAUCAUAUCAAGAGAACAACAAUGGCAUAGACAGCAGCAUAUCAAGAGAACAACAACAGGUUAGUCACCUCUCAAAGGACCAGGGAAAAGGUGCAAUUGCAUGGAGAUACGACCG
RNAcentral lists this long non-coding RNA (489 nucleotides) under Triticum aestivum (bread wheat). Its description in RNAcentral is "long non-coding RNA (TAES_LNC005637)". Lineage: Eukaryota; Viridiplantae; Streptophyta; Magnoliopsida; Poales; Poaceae. The record is from RNAcentral.